CUGCGCCCCAGCGGCCUGCCCCGCGAGAGCCUCAUCGCACAGCCACAGGCUCCAGGUCCAGGGGCAGAGAGCCCUUCUCUUGGGAACGCAGUACACAGAGAACUGCACUGCCCCUUACCUCUACCCAAAAUACACAAAACACAUGCACUAUCGACCUAAAGACACUCCAAACAUUAGAAAAAGGACAACCUGCUUUUGGUUCAGAGGAGCGAGGUUCAGAGGAGAGUUUCGGAUGAGUGAAAAAGAGUCAGUGAAACAAGUGAUUUUAAAACAACUGUCCUAAAAUGGAUAUUUGUAAGCCACGGAACCUCAGGCAACCUCCACGGGCACCAGAGCACACACAGGAAGAACUGUCUUCUGAGCCGGCCGGAACCCAGCCGGGGUUAAACACUGCAGCCUGGCGCGGUGGGGCCAGGCGUGCGCCCCAGAAGCCGGCCUCCCCUCCUGUCAAGGGUCUAACACCACAUUACCGCAUCAGCAACCGUCAGCGCCAAAAACGCCUCUCCAACAGCUGCCCAUGAGGAUGCUCCAGCUGGGCUGUCCCACGUCCACGGACCGACAAGUCUUAGCGAUGCCGUGUGCAGAGAGCCCGCGCUCCCAGGGGCUUUCUGAUGCCACUCCAGUCACCCGAGCAGCUCAGUGGCCCGUGCCAGGCUGCGUCUGGAACGGUGUGUCUGCACGUCCGCUGCGUGCACCCACUUGCCCAUCCAAGUGGGAGUGACCACGCGCGUCCCCUUCAGCCCAGAGGGGGCCGCUGGUCAGGAGCGGGCGCAGUCAGCACUUAGAACGUGGAACACCUUUCGGGCGACUAUUUUUCUAACUGAAGAGGAUGGUUUUCAACCCAAAGCCAGAAACUUCAUUCUGACGUACAUCUAAACAAGCCAUCUCAUGCUGCCCAGGGCUCCAGUCAGCCUCAACCUCCACGUGUAGCCAGGAUGCUCCCUGGAAAACCCGACAGGCCCGAGACACACGCGUCUCCCGCAGCUGCCCUCCCGUGUCUCCAGCUCAGACGACCCACCAUGGCAUUCACGCAGACAUCGCCCCCCAGGCCUCACCUCUCCCUCCACGGCCGCUCGCUGACCCCAGCCUGCUGGCCUCAACCGAGUCUUCCUGCAGAUGCUCUGGCCCCCCGCUUCUCAUCAGGACUCCUGCCUCAGUCCCUCAAAUGCAGCCCCCCAGGCAGGUGGAGGGACCCACUGGCUCAGAGUCCCUCCCAAGCUCCCCAUUCCCUUGGCCACCUGUCGCCAUUCCAGGCCUCCACCUCUGGCUUCUGACAGCACCCCCCCCCCCUCGCAAUCUGCACUGGCUUCGCACCCUUCUCCCGUCACCCCUGCCCUCCCCUCUCCAGCCCUCGCUUCACCAGAAAGCCCCGUUCCUGCCCUCCUUGUAAUGGGUGGGCGCCCUCUCCUGAGCACCAAGGACUGCACCCAAGACCGGGUCCUGGUCUUUCUGUUGGAGCCCUGCCUCCCUCACUGGGCAGAGAGCAGGGGGCACUCUGACCUACACCCGCUCCCCCAACUCCUGGCAGGUGACAGGGGCCGCACAAACAGGUGUGUCAGCACUGCACUGAAGGGAGGGAGCCUAGGGGACACCUUCUACCCCACACCUCUGUGCCACCCCUUGCCCAGGACCCCCAGACAUCAGGCAGGGUGCCCCACUGGACCCUGGACCCGGGCUCUGCCACCGCAGGCCAGCGAGAACCCUCGGGACUUGGUUUCCUCAUCUAAGAUGGGGGCGGGGGUGUGUGUGUGUGUGGACUGUGUGCCAACCUAGGUUCACUUCUACCUGCUCUGAAACCCUAUGACUUUAAGGUGACACUUUCAGUUUCCUGAAACUGUAAGAAAGAGGAAACACGACGAGCCCGUGACUUAUAAAAAGCAAAAGUAAAUAGCGGAGCG
Equus asinus (donkey) is the source of this 1898-nucleotide long non-coding RNA. The record is from Ensembl. Lineage: Eukaryota; Metazoa; Chordata; Mammalia; Perissodactyla; Equidae.